This 352-nucleotide ribosomal RNA is filed under the name Litoborus sternalis. RNAcentral describes it as "partial 12S ribosomal RNA". The record is from RNAcentral. Lineage: Eukaryota; Metazoa; Arthropoda; Insecta; Coleoptera; Tenebrionidae.
UUAUUUGAAAUGUAAAUUUAGUUAUCUGAGGUUAUUAUAAGUUAAGAUCUUUAAAAUUAAAAAAUUUGGCGGUAUUUUAGUCUAUUCAGAGGAACCUGUUUUUUAAUUGAUAGUCCACGAUAAUUUAUACUUUAAUUUUUAAUUUGCAUAUCGUCGUUUAUAAAGAUUUUAGGAGAAUUUUAAUCUUUAGAAUUUUUUAUUUUGAAGUAGUUCAGAUCAAGGUGCAGUUUAUAUUAAAGAUAAAAUGGGUUACAAUAGGUUUAUUUUUGGGUUUUGAUUUUAAAAAUUAAAUUAAAAUGGAUUUGACAGUAAAUUCUUUAUUUUUGGGAGUUGAUUAAGCCCUAAAAUAUGC